UACGUAGGGUGCAAGCGUUGUUCGGAAUCACUGGGCGUAAAGGGAGCGUAGGCGGGAUUGUAAGUUAGGAGUUUAAUCCACAGGCUUAACCUGUGGUCUGCUUUUAAUACUGCAGUUCUUGAGUAUGGGAGAGGGCGAUGGAAUUCCAGGUGUAGCGGUGGAAUGCGUAGAUAUCUGGAAGAACACCAGUAGCGAAGGCGGUCGCCUGGCCCAAUACUGACGCUGAUGCUCGAAAGCUAGGGGAGCAAACAGG
This 253-nucleotide ribosomal RNA is filed under the name uncultured bacterium. Its description in RNAcentral is "partial 16S ribosomal RNA". It matches the Rfam family "Bacterial small subunit ribosomal RNA", at positions 524 to 776 of the family's 1533-position model. The record is from RNAcentral.